Molecule: ribosomal RNA, 360 nt
Filed under: Triticum aestivum (bread wheat)
Lineage: Eukaryota; Viridiplantae; Streptophyta; Magnoliopsida; Poales; Poaceae
Description: partial small subunit ribosomal RNA
Source: RNAcentral
AUGUGCUCAAUGACUUCCGGUACGAGGCGCUGUGCCGUCAGUCUAAGAUUGGCAAGUCCACUACCAGCAAGGGAGGAGCGGCACCAUCCUUGGCGGCAGACGCACUCAAAACUGGACGAGGCUACCAAGAUCUUUGGAAGAGAUGAUGAUAAGGAGGUGGUGGUGAAGUUGUUGUUGGACCAGCAAGAUCAGCGGAGGGUGCAGGUGUUGCCCAUCAUUGGGAUGGGAGGUCUUGGCAAGAGGACUCUUGCUAAGAUGGUCUAUAAUGACCAAGGGGUCCAGCAACAUUUCGAGUUGCAGAUGUGGCACUGUGUGUCCGACAACUUUGAUGUCAUUGCUCUUUUUGAAAUCCAUCAUUGA